Molecule: ribosomal RNA, 468 nt
Filed under: uncultured bacterium
Lineage: Bacteria
Description: partial 16S ribosomal RNA
Rfam family: Bacterial small subunit ribosomal RNA
Source: RNAcentral
GACGAACGCUGGCGGCGUGCUUAACACAUGCAAGUCGAACGGAAAGGCCCUGCUUUUGUGGGGUGCUCGAGUGGCGCACGGGUGUGUAACACGUGUGUCACCUGCUCUUGACUUUGGGAUCACUUCAGGACACUGGGGCUUAUCCCGGAUAGGAGCUUCUGCCGCAUGGUGGGGGGUGGAAUUUUUCGGCGGUUGGGGGUGGACUCGCGGCUUCUCCGCUUGUUGGUGGGGUUGUGGCUUACCAAGGCUUUGACGGGUCGCGGGCCUGAGGGGGUGACCGGCCACAUUGGAACGGAGAUACGGCCCAGACUCCUACGGGAGGAAGCAGUGGGGAAUAUUGCACAAUGGGCGGAAGCCUGAGGCAGCAACGCCGCGUGCGGGAUGACGGCCUUCGGGUUGUAAACCGCUUUCGCCUGUGACGAAGCGUGAGUGACGGUAAUGGGUAAAGAAGCACCGGCUAACUACGUG